RNAcentral lists this ribosomal RNA (2901 nucleotides) under Escherichia coli. RNAcentral's name for it is "bacterial LSU rRNA". It matches the Rfam family "Bacterial large subunit ribosomal RNA". The record is from RNAcentral. Lineage: Bacteria; Pseudomonadati; Pseudomonadota; Gammaproteobacteria; Enterobacterales; Enterobacteriaceae. RNAcentral also lists the same sequence under 1 other name.
UUAAGCGACUAAGCGUACACGGUGGAUGCCCUGGCAGUCAGAGGCGAUGAAGGACGUGCUAAUCUGCGAUAAGCGUCGGUAAGGUGAUAUGAACCGUUAUAACCGGCGAUUUCCGAAUGGGGAAACCCAGUGUGAUUCGUCACACUAUCAUUAACUGAAUCCAUAGGUUAAUGAGGCGAACCGGGGGAACUGAAACAUCUAAGUACCCCGAGGAAAAGAAAUCAACCGAGAUUCCCCCAGUAGCGGCGAGCGAACGGGGAGCAGCCCAGAGCCUGAAUCAGUGUGUGUGUUAGUGGAAGCGUCUGGAAAGGCGCGCGAUACAGGGUGACAGCCCCGUACACAAAAAUGCACAUGCUGUGAGCUCGAUGAGUAGGGCGGGACACGUGGUAUCCUGUCUGAAUAUGGGGGGACCAUCCUCCAAGGCUAAAUACUCCUGACUGACCGAUAGUGAACCAGUACCGUGAGGGAAAGGCGAAAAGAACCCCGGCGAGGGGAGUGAAAAAGAACCUGAAACCGUGUACGUACAAGCAGUGGGAGCACGCUUAGGCGUGUGACUGCGUACCUUUUGUAUAAUGGGUCAGCGACUUAUAUUCUGUAGCAAGGUUAACCGAAUAGGGGAGCCGAAGGGAAACCGAGUCUUAACUGGGCGUUAAGUUGCAGGGUAUAGACCCGAAACCCGGUGAUCUAGCCAUGGGCAGGUUGAAGGUUGGGUAACACUAACUGGAGGACCGAACCGACUAAUGUUGAAAAAUUAGCGGAUGACUUGUGGCUGGGGGUGAAAGGCCAAUCAAACCGGGAGAUAGCUGGUUCUCCCCGAAAGCUAUUUAGGUAGCGCCUCGUGAAUUCAUCUCCGGGGGUAGAGCACUGUUUCGGCAAGGGGGUCAUCCCGACUUACCAACCCGAUGCAAACUGCGAAUACCGGAGAAUGUUAUCACGGGAGACACACGGCGGGUGCUAACGUCCGUCGUGAAGAGGGAAACAACCCAGACCGCCAGCUAAGGUCCCAAAGUCAUGGUUAAGUGGGAAACGAUGUGGGAAGGCCCAGACAGCCAGGAUGUUGGCUUAGAAGCAGCCAUCAUUUAAAGAAAGCGUAAUAGCUCACUGGUCGAGUCGGCCUGCGCGGAAGAUGUAACGGGGCUAAACCAUGCACCGAAGCUGCGGCAGCGACACUAUGUGUUGUUGGGUAGGGGAGCGUUCUGUAAGCCUGUGAAGGUGUACUGUGAGGUAUGCUGGAGGUAUCAGAAGUGCGAAUGCUGACAUAAGUAACGAUAAAGCGGGUGAAAAGCCCGCUCGCCGGAAGACCAAGGGUUCCUGUCCAACGUUAAUCGGGGCAGGGUGAGUCGACCCCUAAGGCGAGGCCGAAAGGCGUAGUCGAUGGGAAACAGGUUAAUAUUCCUGUACUUGGUGUUACUGCGAAGGGGGGACGGAGAAGGCUAUGUUGGCCGGGCGACGGUUGUCCCGGUUUAAGCGUGUAGGCUGGUUUUCCAGGCAAAUCCGGAAAAUCAAGGCUGAGGCGUGAUGACGAGGCACUACGGUGCUGAAGCAACAAAUGCCCUGCUUCCAGGAAAAGCCUCUAAGCAUCAGGUAACAUCAAAUCGUACCCCAAACCGACACAGGUGGUCAGGUAGAGAAUACCAAGGCGCUUGAGAGAACUCGGGUGAAGGAACUAGGCAAAAUGGUGCCGUAACUUCGGGAGAAGGCACGCUGAUAUGUAGGUGAAGUCCCUCGCGGAUGGAGCUGAAAUCAGUCGAAGAUACCAGCUGGCUGCAACUGUUUAUUAAAAACACAGCACUGUGCAAACACGAAAGUGGACGUAUACGGUGUGACGCCUGCCCGGUGCCGGAAGGUUAAUUGAUGGGGUUAGCGCAAGCGAAGCUCUUGAUCGAAGCCCCGGUAAACGGCGGCCGUAACUAUAACGGUCCUAAGGUAGCGAAAUUCCUUGUCGGGUAAGUUCCGACCUGCACGAAUGGCGUAAUGAUGGCCAGGCUGUCUCCACCCGAGACUCAGUGAAAUUGAACUCGCUGUGAAGAUGCAGUGUACCCGCGGCAAGACGGAAAGACCCCGUGAACCUUUACUAUAGCUUGACACUGAACAUUGAGCCUUGAUGUGUAGGAUAGGUGGGAGGCUUUGAAGUGUGGACGCCAGUCUGCAUGGAGCCGACCUUGAAAUACCACCCUUUAAUGUUUGAUGUUCUAACGUUGACCCGUAAUCCGGGUUGCGGACAGUGUCUGGUGGGUAGUUUGACUGGGGCGGUCUCCUCCUAAAGAGUAACGGAGGAGCACGAAGGUUGGCUAAUCCUGGUCGGACAUCAGGAGGUUAGUGCAAUGGCAUAAGCCAGCUUGACUGCGAGCGUGACGGCGCGAGCAGGUGCGAAAGCAGGUCAUAGUGAUCCGGUGGUUCUGAAUGGAAGGGCCAUCGCUCAACGGAUAAAAGGUACUCCGGGGAUAACAGGCUGAUACCGCCCAAGAGUUCAUAUCGACGGCGGUGUUUGGCACCUCGAUGUCGGCUCAUCACAUCCUGGGGCUGAAGUAGGUCCCAAGGGUAUGGCUGUUCGCCAUUUAAAGUGGUACGCGAGCUGGGUUUAGAACGUCGUGAGACAGUUCGGUCCCUAUCUGCCGUGGGCGCUGGAGAACUGAGGGGGGCUGCUCCUAGUACGAGAGGACCGGAGUGGACGCAUCACUGGUGUUCGGGUUGUCAUGCCAAUGGCACUGCCCGGUAGCUAAAUGCGGAAGAGAUAAGUGCUGAAAGCAUCUAAGCACGAAACUUGCCCCGAGAUGAGUUCUCCCUGACUCCUUGAGAGUCCUGAAGGAACGUUGAAGACGACGACGUUGAUAGGCCGGGUGUGUAAGCGCAGCGAUGCGUUGAGCUAACCGGUACUAAUGAACCGUGAGGCUUAACCUU